Molecule: ribosomal RNA, 397 nt
Filed under: uncultured Gammaproteobacteria bacterium
Lineage: Bacteria; Pseudomonadati; Pseudomonadota; Gammaproteobacteria
Description: bacterial SSU rRNA
Rfam family: Bacterial small subunit ribosomal RNA
Source: RNAcentral
GGCGGACGGGUGAGUAAUGCGUAGGAAUUUACCUCAAAGCGGGGGAUAGCCCGGAGAAAUCCGGAUUAAUACCGCAUGUGCUCUACGGAGGAAAGCGGGCCUCUUCUUGAAAGCUCGCACUUUGAGAUAAGCCUACGUCGGAUUAGCUUGUUGGUAGGGUAAAAGCCUACCAAGGCGACGAUCCGUAGCUGGUUUGAGAGGAUGAUCAGCCACACUGGGACUGAGACACGGCCCAGACUCCUACGGGAGGCAGCAGUGGGGAAUAUUGGACAAUGGGCGCAAGCCUGAUCCAGCAAUGCCGCGUGUGUGAAGAAGGCCUGCGGGUUGUAAAGCACUUUUAUCAGGAAAGAAAAACAUAGGGAUAAUACCCCUGUGCCUUGACGGUACCUGAUGAAUA